AACGCGAAGAACCUUACCAGGGUUUGACAUCCCGUGCUAUGUCCAGAGAUGGGCAGUCCCCGCAAGGGGCGCGGAGACAGGUGCUGCAUGGCUGUCGUCAGCUCGUGUCGUGAGAUGUUGGGUUAAGUCCCGCAACGAGCGCAACCCUCGCCUUUAGUUGCCAUCAUUCAGUUGGGCACUCUAGAGGGACCGCCGGCGGCAAGCCGGAGGAAGGUGGGGAUGACGUCAAGUCCUCAUGGCCCUUACACCCUGGGCUACACACGUGCUACAAUGGCGGUGACAAUGGGCAGCUAACCCGCGAGGGCAAGCUAAUCCCAAAAAGCCGUCCCAGUUCAGAUUGCACUCUGCAACUCGGGUGCAUGAAGGUGGAAUCGCUAGUAAUCGCAGAACAGCAGGCUGCGGUGAAUACGUUCCCGGGCCUUGUACACACCGAUAGC
This 437-nucleotide ribosomal RNA is filed under the name uncultured bacterium. Its description in RNAcentral is "bacterial SSU rRNA". It matches the Rfam family "Bacterial small subunit ribosomal RNA", at positions 958 to 1397 of the family's 1533-position model. The record is from RNAcentral.